Molecule: ribosomal RNA, 600 nt
Filed under: Staphylococcus epidermidis
Lineage: Bacteria; Bacillati; Bacillota; Bacilli; Caryophanales; Staphylococcaceae
Description: bacterial SSU rRNA
Rfam family: Bacterial small subunit ribosomal RNA
Source: RNAcentral
GGCUGACGCUGGCGGCGUGCCUAAUACAUGCAAGUCGAGCGAACAGACGAGGAGCUUGCUCCUCUGACGUUAGCGGCGGACGGGUGAGUAACACGUGGAUAACCUACCUAUAAGACUGGGAUAACUUCGGGAAACCGGAGCUAAUACCGGAUAAUAUAUUGAACCGCAUGGUUCAAUAGUGAAAGACGGUUUUGCUGUCACUUAUAGAUGGAUCCGCGCCGCAUUAGCUAGUUGGUAAGGUAACGGCUUACCAAGGCAACGAUGCGUAGCCGACCUGAGAGGGUGAUCGGCCACACUGGAACUGAGACACGGUCCAGACUCCUACGGGAGGCAGCAGUAGGGAAUCUUCCGCAAUGGGCGAAAGCCUGACGGAGCAACGCCGCGUGAGUGAUGAAGGUCUUCGGAUCGUAAAACUCUGUUAUUAGGGAAGAACAAAUGUGUAAGUAACUAUGCACGUCUUGACGGUACCUAAUCAGAAAGCCACGGCUAACUACGUGCCAGCAGCCGCGGUAAUACGUAGGUGGCAAGCGUUAUCCGGAAUUAUUGGGCGUAAAGCGCGCGUAGGCGGUUUUUUAAGUCUGAUGUGAAAGCCCACGGCUC